Molecule: ribosomal RNA, 663 nt
Filed under: uncultured soil bacterium
Lineage: Bacteria
Description: bacterial SSU rRNA
Rfam family: Bacterial small subunit ribosomal RNA
Source: RNAcentral
CGGCAGCGCGGGGCAACCUGGCGGCGAGUGGCGAACGGGUGAGUAAUAUAUCGGAACGUACCCUGGAGUGGGGGAUAACGUAGCGAAAGUUACGCUAAUACCGCAUACGAUCUAAGGAUGAAAGUGGGGGAUCGCAAGACCUCGUGCUCCUGGAGCGGCCGAUAUCUGAUUAGCUAGUUGGUGGGGUAAAGGCCCACCAAGGCUUGGACGGGUAGCUGGUCUGAGAGGACGACCAGCCACACUGGAACUGAGACACGGUCCAGACACCUACGGGUGGCAGCAGUCGAGGAUUUUUCUCAAUGGGGGAAACCCUGAAGGAGCGACGCCGCGUGAGGGAUGAAGGUCUUCGGAUUGUAAACCUCUGUCAUCUGGGAACAAAGCGCUCCACCUAACACGUGGAUUGUUGAUAGUACCGGAAGAGGAAGCAGUGGCUAACUCUGUGCCAGCAGCCGCGGUAAUACAGAGACUGCAAGCGUUGUUCGGAUUCAUUGGGCGUAAAGGGUGCGCAGGCGGCUCGUUAAGUCGGAUGUGAAAUCUCACAGCCUAACUGUGAUAGGUCAUUCGAAACUGGCGGGCUUGAGGACUGGAGAGGAGACUGGAAUAGUCGGUGUAGCGGUGAAAUGCGUAGAGAUCGACUAGAACACCGGUGGCGAAGGCGAGUCU